UACGUAGGGUGCGAGCGUUGUCCGGAAUUAUUGGGCGUAAAGGGCUCGUAGGCGGUUUGUCGCGUCAGGAGUGAAAACUCGGGGCUUAACCCCGAGCCUGCUUCUGAUACGGGCAGACUAGAGGUAGGCAGGGGAGAACGGAAUUCCUGGUGUAGCGGUGAAAUGCGCAGAUAUCAGGAGGAACACCGGUGGCGAAGGCGGUUCUCUGGGCCUAUCCUGACGCUGAGGAGCGAAAGUGUGGGGAGCGAACAGG
RNAcentral lists this ribosomal RNA (253 nucleotides) under uncultured bacterium. Its description in RNAcentral is "partial 16S ribosomal RNA". It matches the Rfam family "Bacterial small subunit ribosomal RNA", at positions 524 to 776 of the family's 1533-position model. The record is from RNAcentral.